RNAcentral lists this long non-coding RNA (382 nucleotides) under Anser brachyrhynchus (Pink-footed goose). RNAcentral's name for it is "lncRNA (ENSABRG00000006991.1)". Lineage: Eukaryota; Metazoa; Chordata; Aves; Anseriformes; Anatidae. The record is from RNAcentral.
GCUAACUCCAUUGAUUCAAGUCAAAGAUAAAGACCAGGCUCUUCCUUCAAGGAAAAAUAAAAGGAAUCUGUAGGUUGCUGCUGUCAUUAUUUGGAGGAAGAGGAAAAAAAAAUAAUGCUGAGGAGUUGUUGAUGACUUAGAGCAACUGUUUUUCAGCCUACACGAAGGUGUUUGCCAGGUUGAUAAUGCUUCUGAUGGCCUUCAUCCUGUUUAUGUACAGCAGGAAGCCUGUGGGACCAAAUGCAGAUGUUGAGAGACUAAGGGGCCUUCAGUACUUUCCAAGCCUCCGUGAGAGAGAGGAGCUGAAGUCCAGUCCAAAGGUUGUGCUGGCAUCCAGGAGAUACUGUAGCAAAUCUCAAUGCGAUUUAUUUUAUUUUAUUUU